GCGAGCGUGGUCUAAUUGGUAUGACACCCGAUCCCUAAGUGGGAUGUGCACCAUUAUGGUGCGGGAGACCUUGGUUCAAAUCCAAGCGCUGGCU
Tirmania nivea is the source of this 94-nucleotide non-coding RNA. NCBI's taxonomy places the organism in Eukaryota, Fungi, Ascomycota, Pezizomycetes, Pezizales, Pezizaceae. The record is from the annotation of a GenBank genome assembly.